RNAcentral lists this ribosomal RNA (1564 nucleotides) under Lactiplantibacillus plantarum JDM1. RNAcentral describes it as "Lactobacillus plantarum JDM1 16S ribosomal RNA". It matches the Rfam family "Bacterial small subunit ribosomal RNA". The record is from RNAcentral. Lineage: Bacteria; Bacillati; Bacillota; Bacilli; Lactobacillales; Lactobacillaceae.
UGAGAGUUUGAUCCUGGCUCAGGACGAACGCUGGCGGCGUGCCUAAUACAUGCAAGUCGAACGAACUCUGGUAUUGAUUGGUGCUUGCAUCAUGAUUUACAUUUGAGUGAGUGGCGAACUGGUGAGUAACACGUGGGAAACCUGCCCAGAAGCGGGGGAUAACACCUGGAAACAGAUGCUAAUACCGCAUAACAACUUGGACCGCAUGGUCCGAGUUUGAAAGAUGGCUUCGGCUAUCACUUUUGGAUGGUCCCGCGGCGUAUUAGCUAGAUGGUGGGGUAACGGCUCACCAUGGCAAUGAUACGUAGCCGACCUGAGAGGGUAAUCGGCCACAUUGGGACUGAGACACGGCCCAAACUCCUACGGGAGGCAGCAGUAGGGAAUCUUCCACAAUGGACGAAAGUCUGAUGGAGCAACGCCGCGUGAGUGAAGAAGGGUUUCGGCUCGUAAAACUCUGUUGUUAAAGAAGAACAUAUCUGAGAGUAACUGUUCAGGUAUUGACGGUAUUUAACCAGAAAGCCACGGCUAACUACGUGCCAGCAGCCGCGGUAAUACGUAGGUGGCAAGCGUUGUCCGGAUUUAUUGGGCGUAAAGCGAGCGCAGGCGGUUUUUUAAGUCUGAUGUGAAAGCCUUCGGCUCAACCGAAGAAGUGCAUCGGAAACUGGGAAACUUGAGUGCAGAAGAGGACAGUGGAACUCCAUGUGUAGCGGUGAAAUGCGUAGAUAUAUGGAAGAACACCAGUGGCGAAGGCGGCUGUCUGGUCUGUAACUGACGCUGAGGCUCGAAAGUAUGGGUAGCAAACAGGAUUAGAUACCCUGGUAGUCCAUACCGUAAACGAUGAAUGCUAAGUGUUGGAGGGUUUCCGCCCUUCAGUGCUGCAGCUAACGCAUUAAGCAUUCCGCCUGGGGAGUACGGCCGCAAGGCUGAAACUCAAAGGAAUUGACGGGGGCCCGCACAAGCGGUGGAGCAUGUGGUUUAAUUCGAAGCUACGCGAAGAACCUUACCAGGUCUUGACAUACUAUGCAAAUCUAAGAGAUUAGACGUUCCCUUCGGGGACAUGGAUACAGGUGGUGCAUGGUUGUCGUCAGCUCGUGUCGUGAGAUGUUGGGUUAAGUCCCGCAACGAGCGCAACCCUUAUUAUCAGUUGCCAGCAUUAAGUUGGGCACUCUGGUGAGACUGCCGGUGACAAACCGGAGGAAGGUGGGGAUGACGUCAAAUCAUCAUGCCCCUUAUGACCUGGGCUACACACGUGCUACAAUGGAUGGUACAACGAGUUGCGAACUCGCGAGAGUAAGCUAAUCUCUUAAAGCCAUUCUCAGUUCGGAUUGUAGGCUGCAACUCGCCUACAUGAAGUCGGAAUCGCUAGUAAUCGCGGAUCAGCAUGCCGCGGUGAAUACGUUCCCGGGCCUUGUACACACCGCCCGUCACACCAUGAGAGUUUGUAACACCCAAAGUCGGUGGGGUAACCUUUUAGGAACCAGCCGCCUAAGGUGGGACAGAUGAUUAGGGUGAAGUCGUAACAAGGUAGCCGUAGGAGAACCUGCGGCUGGAUCACCUCCUUUCU